UUAACGGAGAGUUUGAUCCUGGCUCAGGACGAACGCUGGCGGCGUGCCUAAUACAUGCAAGUCGAGCGGAGUUUCAAGAAGCUUGCUUUUUGAAACUUAGCGGCGGACGGGUGAGUAACACGUGGGCAACCUGCCCCUUAGACUGGGAUAACUCCGGGAAACCGGAGCUAAUACCGGAUAAUCCCUUUUUCCACCUGGAGAGAGGGUGAAAGAUGGCUUCGGCUAUCACUAGGGGAUGGGCCCGCGGCGCAUUAGCUAGUUGGUAAGGUAACGGCUUACCAAGGCGACGAUGCGUAGCCGACCUGAGAGGGUGAUCGGCCACACUGGGACUGAGACACGGCCCAGACUCCUACGGGAGGCAGCAGUAGGGAAUCUUCCGCAAUGGACGAAAGUCUGACGGAGCAACGCCGCGU
RNAcentral lists this ribosomal RNA (413 nucleotides) under Shouchella clausii. RNAcentral describes it as "bacterial SSU rRNA". It matches the Rfam family "Bacterial small subunit ribosomal RNA", at positions 1 to 402 of the family's 1533-position model. The record is from RNAcentral. Lineage: Bacteria; Bacillati; Bacillota; Bacilli; Caryophanales; Bacillaceae.